This is an RNA transcript of Fundulus heteroclitus (mummichog), 4300 nucleotides long. RefSeq lists it as uncharacterized. The transcript is spliced from 4 exons. NCBI's taxonomy places the organism in Eukaryota, Metazoa, Chordata, Actinopteri, Cyprinodontiformes, Fundulidae. The record is from RefSeq and is a predicted model, not a curated record.
UGUGCUUGUUUGUCUCUCUUGUUGUGUCUCUACUCUGUCUUCUCUAACUCCCAGUCGGUCGAGGCGGAUGACCGUUCAUACUGAGCCUGGUUCUGCUGAAGAGAGAGACCUUGAAGUACUCAUGCUCACUAUGACCUGGCCAUUGGUGUUGCCUUUUGGUGGUUGAACAAAGAUGAAUGUCGGGAUGUGCUUGACACAGACAUUAUUGGAGCCACCAGCAGCUUCAGAAGUCCUCAAUAUCUGAAUCGCUUAGAGCGAGAGGCAUUGAUCCUUUCAUCUUUCGCUGGAAUUAUUAUGAUCAAAAACUGAAAAAAUGGUUGUCUCAGCAGACAAAAGCGAGUACACUACAGAGACCAGUGUCUGCACAAUCCUCCUCUCCAUCUGUGUCCGAGUCCUUUGUCAGUGUGAGUACCUCACUGCUAAGUCCUCUGCUGUCACCUGCUGAUGGAAAUGCUCCCAUUGCUCUCUGCUCUUGCAGGAAAACAGCGAUUGUCACCAGGAAGCAGCUGAUCCCUAUGAGGGCUCACAAGACUCUUUGCAGGAUUGAAGCUGUCAUCCAUCUGUGUGACCUUUGUUAAACAUUUCUUGGGUACCCUUCUCACAAUGGUUUGCUGCGAUUUUGGCUCAUUCCUCCUGACCGAAUUGGUGUAACUGAGUCAGACUUGUAGACCACCUCACUUACACACACCUAUUUAGCUCAGUUCACAAUUUUUCUUUAAGUCUGAAAUUAGGACUUUGUUAUGGCUGCUCCAAAACAUUGACUCUGCUGUCUUCAAACCACUUUAUAACUAAUACCGCUGAACGCUUGGAGAUAUCCAUUUGGAAGAUCCAUUGGUGCUUAAGCUUUAACCUCCUGCCUGAUGCCUUGAGAUGUUUCUUCCAAAUUUCCCCACAAUGGUGUUUUCUCAUGACACCAUCUACGUAUGUGAAGUGCACCAGUCCCUCCUGCAGCAAUCCUCCCUCCGCAACACGAUGCUCCCUCCUCAUACUUCACAUUUCGUAUGUUGUUCUCAGACUAGCAAUCUUCCCCUGUUUUUCCAUCUGAUGCUCAAAGACUGCAAUUGUAGUUAGGUUAGGCCACAGAAAACACAUCAGAAACAUUGGGGCCUUUGUGAAAUGCAUUUAAUUUAAAUAUUGGGGAUGAACCUGUGAGAAGCUUAUUACACAUUACAUCAUUUUAUAUUCCCCAAAUUGCUUCCAGUAGUUGUUUAGUCAGAUUUAAUGUUGGAAAAAUGGCUGUAUUUUUUGAACAGUGAUAUAAGAAAUGUUUUCAGCUUUGUAGCUUUAUGAACAAAACACAGUAUAGUUCAGUGGAAGGAGUAAUAUGACAGGUUUAAACUUAUUUUAAGUGGAAUGAUGAACAAUUUAAAGUCACUUUGUAGGUACUCUUCAUCGCACACUUUGAUGCCUUUUGAAUAAGUGGGAUAUCUUGACAGAGAGACAGACCUUGUCUAAAGGUUUUCACAGUGACACAAAUGUUGUGUUUUGUAGUUUGAAUAGUUUUAUAAUUUUUUACAUGCUGCUUUGAGUAGAGGGUCAGUCUCUGCCUUAGGUGGAAGACUUUAUGUCUCUUGCUGUCCUGUUCGGAAGUGAUGGUAGGAUGGACAAACAUAUAUGGACUUUGUCUGUAGUAAUGUAGGCAAAGCUCCAGUCUGUUGUGAAGAAACAGCUGAGCCACAAAGUAAUGCUCGUCAUGUACCAGUCCGUCUGUGUUCCAGUCCUCACCUAAGGUCGUGAUACAUGAAUCAUGACCAAAAUAUUGAGAUCCUGUUUAAGAGCGGCCCAAAUGGGCUUCCUCCGGGGGAUGGCCUGACUCAACCUUGGAGAUAAGGUAAGGAACUCCGUCAUCUGGAGUGAGCUCAAAGUAGAGCUGCUGCUUCUCUGCUUCAACAGGAGUUAGUUGAAGUUCAAGCAUCUGAACAGGAUACAUCCUGAGCGCCACCCUUUGGAGGUUUUCUAGCCAUGUCCCACUGGGAAGAGAUGUCGGGGAAAACCCAGAACUCAUGAGGAUGUCCGGGUAUCAUCUUGGAUUGGUUACCUGCUCAAUCCGAUCUUGGAUUAGUGGAAGACAAAGGAUAGAUGGAUGUUGAUAUAACUAAACAACUUUCAUAAGUUCAAAAUGUUUUAUAAGUAAAAACAUAAAACCUUUCUUCUUCUCUCUGACAUGCUGGAUGUCUUCUUCUGGGUCCAAUCCUAAUGGUGGCCUGUUCGUGUCUCAGUUUUGAACACAGUCUUUUGGCCUCUAUUUCUUAUCCUGGUUUUAAGAACCGGCCACAGGUUCUCAGGGAGUCUAAAAUUGGAGAGUUUAGAUCCCAUCGGUCCAGAAUGUCAAUGUUCUGAUCUUUGAGCAACUUUGUUUUCAUAUUUGGAUUGUAACACAGGUCAGAAAAAGUUGCUCUUACUUCUGAUCUCAUUGUUUAUUCAUGGCAGUGUUCUUGGGCAGAAUUGUAAACCUAAUCUCUUGGAUGACAAUCAACCCCAAACAUGGAUUUUAUCAGAAUGCUUUACUGUUGGUGACAAAAAAGAUUUGUGUAGCAGUUGGUUUUUCUUCUAGGAAUGAAUGAUUCGCCAGCUGUCCCAGACAGUUAGUCGGAAUAUUCAUCAUCAUUCUCUGCUGACCGUCCUAAUUGCCCUGCAGAAUUUCAGUUUCUCCUUGUCUUCUUUCCUGAAGUAUUCUUAUCUAUGCAUGCAGAUGCACUAAAGCCCAUCUGUUGCCAAUGUUUCACAAGCUGUGCCCCAGUGGUAGCACAAUUCUGUACGCAAUUCCCCAGGGGGUAGAUUUAGCUGGAGCUUGCUGGAUGUCCUUAAGCUUCCUUAUGCAAGCAAACCUCUAACCUCAAAGUUCUUGAUGAUUUAGAUUGUUGAAAUUGUUCUUUCAGCUGCAAAAGGCCUGUUCUUAGCAGUAGUGUCCUUCCAUGUGAGGCCAUGUUGACACAUUCCUAUGGAGGUAACCAUUGGUAACACAAGACAAUAAUUUGAGAAACACCUGCCCCUCUCUGAUAGUCUGGUAAAUGAACUGAUUAAAUUAUUUUAGCAUAACUCUUUCAUAUCACACCUGUGCGGAUCAUGAUUGCAUUGACAUAAAAAUAGCUGAUAAUUUUUGCACCAGACAAAAACACAGCAAAAUAUGUAUAUUUUGUCUCUAUCAAAUUAAUCAUUAUUAGUUAUUAGUGUGUCUGAUAGCUCUGUCAAACUUUUUGGCACUGACAUUAAGAACUGUUGGGCAUCUGUGUUCAUUUAACGAUAAGUUUCUGCACCAUCAUGGGCCACUCCAGUUGUUUAGUAGCUUUCAACAGUUUACAGGAAUGUAAUAAAGAACAAAGUGUUGAGUGGAUCUUUGUGAUAUCAUGUCAUCAAAGUCAGAUUGUUGCUGGAACUUCACCAGGCUGAUCGGUUUUUGUUUACACACAGUGUUUGACAUUCUCCCCAGCAAAGAUUAAUCUCUUCUUGCUGUUGGGUAGGUGCAUAAAAAUGUAGUUUUGUCAUUGAUAUCAAUGAAGAGGCCAGAGUAGGUCAGUUAUUCGCCUGCUAGGACUUUUGUCCUGAUGAUUUAGGGAUUUUGGUUCUAUGGACAGAAUCAAGAUUUUUGGCAGCAAAACCAGUCUAGGAACAGGCUACUUCCAAAGGAAGUAGCCUAUUCCUAGAGGGCUGCCUCAGACAGAGUUCCACAGCUAUGAGGAAAAUGUGUUUCUGCAGUGCUAAACUAUCCUGUUAUUUCUUGUCAACUGCCUAGAAACAUCUGUCUGAGAGUGUUAUGUUUUUAUAAAGUGCUGGUUUGUGUAAAAUGCUUCUAGGAGGUAUUUGCUUGUUUUAGAUCGGAAGGGUCCAUUCAUUUUGCAUCUUCCACCUGCAGACCAGCGAUGGCCCUUACCGCAUCCGCAUCUAUGAGCGGCCCCAACUUCCAAGGUCAAAUGAUGGAGUUCAACGAGGACUGCGAGUCUUUGCAAGAGCACUUCCGCAGCCGCGAUAUCUACUCCUGCAACGUCAUGGAUGGCUACUGGACCCUGUACGAGCAUCCAAACUUCCAUGCAAACGAAAUUUCGUUCUGUACUCAGUCUGUGCAUACAAAAUGACAAAUAAAGUUGUCUAAGUCUAAAUUAAAGCUGUGGUCCUAAAUAUGUUUGAUUUGCUGAAAUAACAAGCACUCUUCGUACUUGCACAAGAAGAGGCUUGAAAUCACUUUCUGUUAGAAACCCCAGAUGAGUUGUCAUUCUAGACUGCGGUGUUAAUCUAGUGAUGUUUUAGAAUUGAUCUAAAAGUUUAUUUAACAGCUGUUUUGCAAGUGUUAGUGUAAUAACUA